AUGCGGCCAUCAAGGUGGAAGAGGAAGACGAGGAGGGGGUUGCCAUUGCCACCUUUGGUACAGCAGGCCAGGUGCCCGGCGGCCAACAGGACUGCAUGGCCAUCUUCAGGAACCCCGCUCCUCCCCCACAGUAUUCGCGCCUCUUCCAUAGCUAGAAGGUACUUCAAGGAUGUUGAGAGGAUUCUUUUUGCUUACAUUCUAGUGCAGCCGCCGCGGCCACCUCCACCUGCACCUGCACAAUGCCAGUGGAACAAGAGGCUGGCUACCGGACCGCCUCCAGGCUUCCCCGGUGUUUGCCAGCCGCCACAGAAGAGACACCAGUCUGGGGCGCAGCCACCGCACAGGCAGCAUCAGGCGCUGCCACAACAGAGGCAGUAUCAGGCGCCGCCGUCGCAGGCGCAGCAAGGGCAGAGGCAGUAUCAGGCGCCACCGGCGCAGGCGCAGCAGGCGCAGAGGCAGUAUCAGGCGCGGCCACCGCAGACGCAGCAGUACCAGGCGGCGCCGCCGCAGGCACAACCACCGCAGAAGCAAUACCCGCCACCACAGCCUAGGCGGCAGCAGGCGGCGCAAGGGCAGCCACUGCAACAGCAAUACCAGGCGCAGCCGCGGCAGACGCAGUACCCGCCGGCGCCGGCGCAAGCGCAACCACCGCAGAAGCAGCACCGGCCGGCCCCAACGCAAGCGCAACCACCGCAGAUGCAGUACCAGCAGCCGGAGCCUGAUCAAGCGCAACCCCCGCAGAUGCAGUACCAGCCGGCACCGACCCAAGCGCAGCCACCGGGGAUGCAGUACCAGCCGGCGCCGUUGCCGAGCGCGCGGCAGCACGCUCCCACACCGGCCGCACCUGCCGCUCACCACGCCCCGUCCAGCAGCAGGCCCCGACUUCACCCGAGGGCCGCGGCCAGACCGGCGUCCGCGUUCAAGAAGCCCUCCGUCGUGUGCGCCGUGUGCGACGUGCGGUGCAUGACGGCGGUUCACCUCAAGCAGCACGAGAAGGGGAGGAAGCAUCGGAACAAGGUGGGCUGCGCCGCCGGGGAGAUGAACCUGUGGUGCGACGUCUGCUCCGUGACCCUCUUAACCAAGCUCAACGUCAAGGAGCACUACUCCGGCAAGCCGCAUCUCCAGCGGGCCUCACGCUCCAGUGCCAAGGGCCACCGAGCAACCUGA
Molecule: ribosomal RNA, 1167 nt
Filed under: Triticum aestivum (bread wheat)
Lineage: Eukaryota; Viridiplantae; Streptophyta; Magnoliopsida; Poales; Poaceae
Description: partial small subunit ribosomal RNA
Source: RNAcentral